GCCAGAGUGGCGAAAUUGGUAGACGCAGCGGAUUCAAAAUCCGCCGGUGGUGACACUGUGCCGGUUCAAGUCCGGCCUCUGGUACCA
This 87-nucleotide transfer RNA is filed under the name Marisediminitalea lipolytica. Its description in RNAcentral is "Alteromonas lipolytica tRNA-Leu". It matches the Rfam family "tRNA". From Rfam's summary of the family: Transfer RNA (tRNA) molecules are approximately 80 nucleotides in length. Their secondary structure includes four short double-helical elements and three loops (D, anti-codon, and T loops). Further hydrogen bonds mediate the characteristic L-shaped molecular structure. tRNAs have two regions of fundamental functional importance: the anti-codon, which is responsible for specific mRNA codon recognition, and the 3' end, to which the tRNAs corresponding amino acid is attached (by aminoacyl-tRNA synthetases). tRNAs cope with the degeneracy of the genetic code in two manners: having more than one tRNA (with a specific anti-codon) for a particular amino acid; and 'wobble' base-pairing, i.e. permitting non-standard base-pairing at the 3rd anti-codon position. Lineage: Bacteria; Pseudomonadati; Pseudomonadota; Gammaproteobacteria; Alteromonadales; Alteromonadaceae. The record is from RNAcentral. RNAcentral also lists the same sequence under 3 other names.